AUCCCCCGACCUCGAGCUCCACAUCCCCGCCCCCUGCUUCGGCUGCCGCCGCCCCUUUUCUCUCCCGCAAAGCCCCUUGUCCAGAUCUAUCAGCCGCAGGCCCGUUUCGUUGGUGGGCAGCCGGUGGCCUUCGAGGCGCGUUCCCCGUCAUGUGCUAGGUGCCACACGCCUGGUCGCUGGUCGUCCUCUGAAUAGCUGUCGGUUCGGUGCUUACCCCCUCCUUCAUGUACGCAGGCUAGAGGAACUGGUCUUUGCUAGGUAAAGGGCCGAUUAUGGCAUCCGCAAUUGUUCUUCCAAACACGAACAACAUCUUGUGUCUCUCAUAGAUCGACCUGCUAGUUUGCUGCAACCCGUGAGCUGUAUUGUUGGUAGCUACGUUGGAGUGAUUGAACAUGUUGUUAGUCUGAACCUAAACUGAUCCCUGCUUAGUUAGUCAGUCCCUUUGUUUAAGAUUAGGAUCUGGCAUUACGAAGGUUACUUGUUGGAUCUGUGGUACUACAGAGAAGUGCACAAUCCAACCUUAUUUUAUUUUAGUUUCUAAUUUUUUGGUCAGAUCGAUGGCUACAGGGAUGGGUUACUUUAAAUUUCUGAAUUAUAAGCUUGCAAGUUUCUGAAAUCUCGGUCUAGAUAUUGCAUGUGUAACAGCUAUACAGAUGAUAUUGCUAGAAUUAGUAAUAAAUCUAGAGUACCACUUUUCUUGUAGCCCUUGGAUAAAAUUCAUAAGAGUAUGGUGGACAGAUUAGUAGCCCUUGGAUAAAGUGGUCUAAUUGGAAAUAACCUGAACCCGCCUUCUCCAUGUGCGCUACCAGUACAUACGUAGCAGUAAAAAUCUCCCCCGGCCGUGUGCUAUGUUGCUUGAGGCUCGACCAGUUCCUCUGCUUAAGCGACACCACCCAAGAUCCUACUAAAUCAAUCUUGCUCAACUAAUCUUUCUACCAUAAUCUAUGAAUUUUUCAUGAGCGUCCGUCAUGCCUUGCGAGGAAAAAGAACAGAUUGAUGGUGUGUGGGAAAGGAUGACAUGCAAGCGCUUGCGCACAACAGGCCUGACGGCUGAAGCUAGCUUGAUUGGUGCGCUCCAAGCAAGACUGCUGUGUUGCCCUUCACAUCUGGGCAUGAAUGUGUGUAUCUCUAUCUUCUUUUAUUAACCGGUAAUCGGCCACCUAGUAUUCAUGGAUGUGAUGACUUUGGAGUGUUAUAGAGCAUUUGGUUGUGUGCAGUAUUUUGGACCAGCCAACUUAAUUGUAAUCAUGAAUCUUAUGUGUGUUAUGGACCAUUUGGUGUUCAAGUGUUAUGGAGUAGAAAUCCAGUGGAUGUGACUUAAGUGUUUGGACCAUUUAGUGUUUGAACUCUUUUAGACCAGCAAAUAAGGGUCCUUUUAUGUGACUUGUGUUUUCUGGAUGUUUGCC
Molecule: long non-coding RNA, 1406 nt
Organism: Triticum aestivum (bread wheat)
Lineage: Eukaryota; Viridiplantae; Streptophyta; Magnoliopsida; Poales; Poaceae
Exons: 3
Source: RefSeq, a predicted model, not a curated record